Molecule: ribosomal RNA, 817 nt
Filed under: uncultured bacterium
Lineage: Bacteria
Description: bacterial SSU rRNA
Rfam family: Bacterial small subunit ribosomal RNA
Source: RNAcentral
UNUGACUUGAGUGCAGAAGGGGAGAGUGGAAUUCCAUGUGUAGCGGUGAAAUGCGUAGAUAUAUGGAGGAACACCAGUGGCGAAAGCGGCUCUNUGGUCUGUCACUGACGCUGAGGCUCGAAAGCGUGGGUAGCGAACAGGAUUAGAUACCCUGGUAGUNCACGCCGUAAACGAUGAGUGCUAGGUGUUAGGCCCUUUCCGGGGCUUAGUGCCGGAGCUAACGCAAUAAGCACUCCGCCGGGGGAGUACGACCGCAAGGUUGAAACUCAAAGGAAUUGACGGGGGCCCGCACAAGCGGUGGAGCAUGUGGUUUAAUUCGAAGCAACGCGAAGAACCUUACCAGGUCUUGACAUCCCGAUGCUAUUCUUAGAGAUAGGAAGUUACUUCGGUACAUCGGAGACAGGUGGUGCAUGGUUGUCGUCAGCUCGUGUCGUGAGAUGUUGGGUUAAGUCCCGCAACGAGCGCAACCCUUAUUGUUAGUUGCCAUCAUUAAGUUGGGCACUCUAGCGAGACUGCCGGUAAUAAACCGGAGGAAGGUGGGGAUGACGUCAAAUCAUCAUGCCCCUUAUGACCUGGGCUACACACGUGCUACAAUGGUCGGUACAACGAGUUGCGAGCCGGUGACGGCAAGCUAAUCUCUGAAAGCCGAUCUCAGUUCGGAUUGGAGGCUGCAACUCGCCUCCAUGAAGUCGGAAUCGCUAGUAAUCGCGGAUCAGCACGCCGCGGUGAAUACGUUCCCGGGCCUUGUACACACCGCCCGUCACACCACGAGAGUUUGUAACACCCGAAGUCGGUGAGGUAACCUUUUAGGGNCCAG